Molecule: ribosomal RNA, 1404 nt
Filed under: uncultured bacterium
Lineage: Bacteria
Description: bacterial SSU rRNA
Rfam family: Bacterial small subunit ribosomal RNA
Source: RNAcentral
AGUUUGAUCAUGGCUCAGGACGAACGCUGGCGGCGCGCCUAAUACAUGCAAGUAGAACGCUGAAGAGAGGAGCUUGCUCUUCUUGGAUGAGUUGCGAACGGGUGAGUAACGCGUAGGUAACCUGCCUUGUAGCGGGGGAUAACUAUUGGAAACGAUAGCUAAUACCGCAUAACAAUAGGUGACACAUGUCAUUUAUUUGAAAGGGGCAAUUGCUCCACUACAAGAUGGACCUGCGUUGUAUUAGCUAGUAGGUGAGGUAACGGCUCACCUAGGCGACGAUACAUAGCCGACCUGAGAGGGUGAUCGGCCAUACUGGGACUGAGACACGGCCCAGACUCCUACGGGAGGCAGCAGUAGGGAAUCUUCGGCAAUGGGGGCAACCCUGACCGAGCAACGCCGCGUGAGUGAAGAAGGUUUUCGGAUCGUAAAGCUCUGUUGUAAGUCAAGAACGAGUGUGAGAGUGGAAAGUUCACACUGUGACGGUAGCUUACCAGAAAGGGACGGCUAACUACGUGCCAGCAGCCGCGGUAAUACGUAGGUCCCGAGCGUUGUCCGGAUUUAUUGGGCGUAAAGCGAGCGCAGGCGGUUUGAUAAGUCUGAAGUUAAAGGCUGUGGCUCAACCAUAGUUCGCUUUGGAAACUGUCAAACUUGAGUGCAGAAGGGGAGAGUGGAAUUCCAUGUGUAGCGGUGAAAUGCGUAGAUAUAUGGAGGAACACCGGUGGCGAAAGCGGCUCUCUGGUCUGUAACUGACGCUGAGGCUCGAAAGCGUGGGGAGCGAACAGGAUUAGAUACCCUGGUAGUCCACGCCGUAAACGAUGAGUGCUAGGUGUUGGAUCCUUUCCGGGAUUCAGUGCCGCAGCUAACGCAUUAAGCACUCCGCCUGGGGAGUACGACCGCAAGGUUGAAACUCAAAGGAAUUGACGGGGGCCCGCACAAGCGGUGGAGCAUGUGGUUUAAUUCGAAGCAACGCGAAGAACCUUACCAGGUCUUGACAUCCCGAUGCUAUUUCUAGAGAUAGAAAGUUACUUCGGUACAUCGGUGACAGGUGGUGCAUGGUUGUCGUCAGCUCGUGUCGUGAGAUGUUGGGUUAAGUCCCGCAACGAGCGCAACCCCUAUUGUUAGUUGCCAUCAUUCAGUUGGGCACUCUAGCGAGACUGCCGGUAAUAAACCGGAGGAGGGUGGGGAUGACGUCAAAUCAUCAUGCCCCUUAUGACCUGGGCUACACACGUGCUACAAUGGUUGGUACAACGAGUUGCGAGUCGGUGACGGCAAGCUAAUCUCUUAAAGCCAAUCUCAGUUCGGAUUGUAGGCUGCAACUCGCCUACAUGAAGUCGGAAUCGCUAGUAAUCGCGGAUCAGCACGCCGCGGUGAAUACGUUCCCGGGCCUUGUACACACCGCCCGUC